CCAAUGCUCACCAAGACAAAAAGGCCACGGGCACUCAGCCCCAGAAAGCUCUCGGGAAUGCUCCUACACUUCCUAGGGAAGGAGAAGGUAGCUCUGAGCAGUGGCCAUCAGCCUCAGGGAUUUUUCAGCACCUCUAAUUCUGACAAGCCUAGUGCUGGGUGCACUCUGCUUGGCUGACAUCACAGGGAUCACCCAUUCCCCAGGGCUGGGUCAUCAGAUCCUAUUGGGGCAUGUCAGGAGUCACAUGAGAUGGGAGAGGGAGUGAAAAACACCAAACCAAAGAACAUGAAAUAAUUUCUAAACAUUUUUAUUUCAAAUCUCUUUUCACCCCUCCCCAAAAAGACAUGGGUAGGUACAGCAAUCAUAAAAAGGAGAUACAAACACAAGAGUCAAAUGUCUCUCGCACUGACACUUACAAAAAACUGGGAAUUGUACAUGGGGUUUCCAAACAGGACCUGCAGCAGCUACUAACGUCCCUUUACGAGAGUCAAACAUGCCUAUUAAUACAGUAUAUACAGACACCCCAUUCUGGAACUAAUCUACAGGGACAUCCCUAACCCCACCCCCUCUAUCCCCAGAAAAAUACCAAAACACACCCAAAGUGCAUUUGUUUUGUUUAUAUCAAAACCUCUUUCCCUUUCCCCAUCCCACCCUCAGACCCCUCCCACCCCAUUUAAGAUUGGCCUGCAAGUCUAUUUUAACCAUUUAGUAUUUUUUUAUAGUUUAUGAAAAUAAAUUAUACAGCAACUAUUUUAAUAAAUUAAGCACAAAAGGAAGGGUAAAAGAGGAAAACUAAAUGGGAAGACAAAAGCCAGGCCACGCUUUGGCUUGGAGGAGGGCAGAGGGGGGGCUAACGGAGACAGAAGUGGUUGCAAGGGGUGGCUCCCUUUCUGGUGAAAAAUUGGCAACCACCCCGAGCCCAGAAUGACACCCCUCUUCAUCGAGUUUCUUAAAAACAACCAAAAACGUACAGCAGUGGCUAUGCCACAGGCAGCACCAGUGUGGGCAUUCCAACAGCCAGCUACCCAAAGUGGCACCUGGACCCUACCUGUCCCUUGGACAGGUUCUGGGCCUAAGAGUGAGGGACAGGUCCCCGCCCAAGGGAGCACCAGAGAUGGAGGAGUGAGAGCAGGCUUCUGCUCCACCUGAGCUGGUUAGGGAGCUCAGGACGAAACUCUGAGCGGGGCAGUGUGGUAUGUGAUGAUCCCAGAGUCUGAGGAAGAGUGUCCUAAGUUCCUCACACUCUAUCUCCAGGAGGAACUACGAUCGCAGUCCAGCUGCAACCAAACAUGCAUGUCUUCCCGCCGUGGCUGGCUGCUUUCUGUCUGCCCCUCCAGGCCUCUUGGUGUUGCAGAGGAGGGGGUAGGAGAGGGAAAGGGAACGGUUCCAGGUCACCUCUAAACCCUCUAGAAAUGAAAUGGGAAUGAAGCAGGUCACAAACUCAGCAUGCAGGGCUGGCUUCCCGGGAGGUAGAUGGGAGUGGGACGGGAUAGCAGGUGUGGAGAGGACAGGAAGGGAAACAGGAAGAAACUGAGCGACACCUGCCAGGAAGGUCAAGAAGCAAUGAAAAGGACAAAGACAAUAUGAAAUCUGCAUGAAAAGACAGGUCCUUUUCUGGCAGAUUAGAGAAUCAACAUUUUCAGUACAACUCAUAACGCUACUUUCCUAACUGCAGUACCCGAGUCCCCAGCGCCUGUCUCUAUGAUCCAACCCCCAUUUCACUGCUCCCAAGACUUUGCUCUCCAUUUUAUCAAGGCCUCCAAUCAUUUUGUGCUGAGUGUGAAGGCUCCAAUGUGAAAGCAGGGUCUACCACAGGGACGUGCAGACUUGACCUUUGUGACCCAAUCAUUUUAUAGCUAUCGCAGCAUAGGAGGGGGGCACACUUUUCUUUCUUUUUUUUUUCUUUUUCUUUUUUUAAUAAAAAAGGUUUUACUCCCCAGGAGCAAAUAAAUCAUUUUGAACUACUGAUAAACACUGCUGCAGUGAAAAGAAAGAUGGCUACAUGUAUGCAAUAGCACAAAUUCAGUGGAAGAACAGCUGUGUUGACGAUUAGAGAUAAAAAUCACUUAUCCAUUCCCUCCUUUCCCACAAACCAAACCGAGGAUUCCCAUAGGGAAAAUGUCUAACUCAAUAGCUCCUCCCUUACAUGACAGGGGGUGUGUCAUUCUCUUAACAGUGGAAAACAAAUGCCAGGUCUCCGCCCAGUGGAGAUGCUCUUAACACCCUAACUGGUAGCAAGACUUCUGCAAAUGAGGACACACACACACACACACAUGCAUGCAUAUGCACACACACAGACUCAGACCUCCUUCCAGCAGCCAUAGAGCUUUAUCCCAGUGUCUUGUCCACUAACUUUAGGGCUCCAAAGCUAAGGGAGCGAGGCAGCAGGGAAGGGAAAGAUCUAACUGAAGGAAAAAGCUCCUCCUCGCCCCAGUUUCUGCAGGGAGCAGAGGGCUUCAAGCAGGCCAUGCUUUCCUGGGGGCCCUGGGGUGAGGGCUGACACGGCUGGAUUCCAGGGCACUUCUGGUUCUACUCCCACCUCUCACCCCUAGACCUAGGAACUAUAAUUACCCCCACUCCCUAAUUCUUCCUGGAUGUCUGUUACAGGGGUGUCUGCAGCUAUCUCCACACCAUCCCCAACCUCAAGGGGGGCUUACAUCAUUAGCCCAAGUGAAAUGUAGGGAAGGGGAAGGAGCAGGAGCCAUGCAGGAGUUUCCUUUGGCCACACCUUUCUCCUCAGGGAGGUGGCGCCACCUCCAUGGCUCAGGUUCCAAGAUGUAACAUUCACUUGGCCUAGGCACAGGCAGGUGACCAGGCAAAGGUCAGCACCAAUGGUCCCAAAGAGCCGGUUGCCACCCACUUACCUAGUGCCCACACCAAAACCCCCGCCCGCCUACUCCUGUGCUACCAACAUAGCACACGAAUUUCAAGUAACAGCAAGUUGUAGCAGUAGUUGUCACUGGCUCACAGCAGCUCACUCUCAACCUGAGGAAGGUUACAGUAGAUCAGUCAUAAACAGGUGAGGGUUAUGCAGGCACUGAGGCCACUGAUAUCACCCACCCACAACUUAGGAAUCAACAGUGGGUCCCUAGAUGUAAGCCUUUUCCAAUUUGUGACUUGAAAAUACAACCAGAAAGAAAUUAUUUAUUUUUUUUGAGAUGGAGUCUCACUCUGUCGUCUAGGCUAGAGGGCAGUGGCGCAAUCUCGGCUCAGUGCAACCUCCGCCUCCUGGGUUCAAGCAAUUCUCCUGUCUCAGCCUCCCAAGUAGCUGGGACUACAGGCGCAUGCCACCAUGCCCAGCUAAUUUUUGUAUUUUAGUAGAGAUAGGGUUUCACUGUUUGGCCAAGCUGGUCUUGAACUCCCGACCUCAUGAUCCACCCACCUCAGCCUCCCAAAGUGCUGGGAUUACAGGCGUGAGCCACCGCGCCCAGACCUAGAAAGGAAUACAUUUAAAUGAGCUCUGCACAGCACUGGCGAAGGAGGGACGGGCCUGGUCAGGGAGGUGAAGGGCAGGUGCUGCCACACCUGCUCCUCUGCUCCAUUUACUCUCUGACCAGGCUGUAUCCCAGAGAGCUGGCCCAGCCCCAUGCCUCCCCCUCAUCUUCCCCUAACUGCUCUGUGCAAGGCCACCCAUGCAGGCACCAAACACCCACACCUGACGAAGACUGUCUCCUCUUGCGCUGCUGUUUUGCAGCCCACUCCACAGAGAAAGGACUAGGCUGCGGCCAGGGCUGGGACCAGUGCACUGACACAGACACAGUUCAACACGACACUCCCCAGGAGGAGAAAGGUGGGUGGUGAGGUUGGGUCACACCUCCUCAGUUGGUUUGUUUUGUACCUGAAUGUAUGAGUUCUCCAGAAGAAACCCCAGUAACACAGGGGGUGCAGAGGCUCUGCCUCCCUCACAUGGCCUGAGCUGACCAUAGUGAGGCCCUGGCAAUGGGCAGGAGCCUUGCUGACUCCUUUGGGCUUUGGGCUCCACCUCACCAUCAUAACCCCUUGGCACUCAGGUCUGCCUGGUGGCUGGGAAGCUUCCAUCUAGAAAACCGCACUGGAAAGGAUUCUUUAACCAUGUUGCUCUAACAGGGCUGUGCACUGUUCAGUACAUGCCAUGCAGAUUUCUGCUUCCUUGCUUUUGCUCAUGUGUUUUUCAUCUCACUGUCUGUCCUGCCAUUGACUACAACCCAAAGCCUCAGAGGCACAGAACUUUCCCAGACCAUCUGGUCUACCCUGAUCUUAUCUACUAUAAACGUCUUUAGAUAGUCCUUGAUUUUCUGCUUGAUGUGCAGCAGUCACCUAAAAGCUCCCUUAGGCCACAUAUUACGUCUUUUACCUUUUUUGUUUUCUACAAUAUCUAGCGCAAAGCCAGGCACACACACACUAAAAAAUAAUAUUAAAAUUAUGGGUGGUUGAAAAGGAACAAAAAAAAGAAAGAUCCCAGUCCUUUGCAAACCUCAAGCCCCUCCUCCCAUCUUCCAGGCCCACAGCACAGACUCUAACUCUGCCUUUGGCACCAGCUGAAUGGCCGUCCCCUGUUCCCUCCUCCCACCCCUUCUUUGGACCUGCUCACCCUUCGCACCACUUUCAAUCCAACGGGCACAAACCCCAACUGCCUUCAAGGUGAGUUUUCCAUACCAAGUAAUAUAAAUAUCAAAAACAAAACUUCUGAAAAAGAAACAGUGUUGAGACUUCUUCCAGUUUUCCAAGGAGCCCCUCCAGUCCUAAGAUGCCCAGGGGUGGGUGUGAGGUGGAG
RNAcentral lists this long non-coding RNA (4753 nucleotides) under Homo sapiens (human). RNAcentral's name for it is "HSALNT0240156". Lineage: Eukaryota; Metazoa; Chordata; Mammalia; Primates; Hominidae. The record is from RNAcentral.